GGGCGCGUAGUCUAGCAUGGAUAAGGCGCCAGCCUUCGAAGUUGGAGGCCCCAGGUUCGAAUCCUGGCGCGCCCGCCA
Molecule: transfer RNA, 78 nt
Filed under: Candidatus Thorarchaeota archaeon
Lineage: Archaea; Promethearchaeati; Candidatus Thorarchaeota
Also listed under: 2 other names
Description: tRNA-Arg
Rfam family: tRNA
About the family: Transfer RNA (tRNA) molecules are approximately 80 nucleotides in length.
Source: RNAcentral